GAUCAUGGCUCAGGAUGAACGCUAGCUACAGGCUUAACACAUGCAAGUCGAGGGGCAGCAUUGAGAUAGCUUGCUAUUCAGAUGGCGACCGGCGCACGGGUGAGUAACGCGUAUCCAACCUUCCCCUUAGUAGGGGAUAGCCCGGUGAAAAUCGGAUUAAUACCCUAUGUUGUUCGAAGCAGACAUCUAAAUUGAACCAAAGGUUUACCGCUAAGGGAUGGGGAUGCGUCUGAUUAGGUAGUAGGCGGGGUAACGGCCCACCUAGCCGACGAUCAGUAGGGGUUCUGAGAGGAAGGUCCCCCACAUUGGAACUGAGACACGGUCCAAACUCCUACGGGAGGCAGCAGUGAGGAAUAUUGGUCAAUGGGCGCGAGCCUGAACCAGCCAAGUAGCGUGCCAGGACGACGGCCCUAUGGGUUGUAAACUGCUUUUAUACAGGGAUAAAGUCACCUACGUGUAGGUGUUUGUAGGUACUGUAUGAAUAAGGACCGGCUAAUUCCGUGCCAGCAGCAGC
Molecule: ribosomal RNA, 514 nt
Filed under: uncultured bacterium
Lineage: Bacteria
Description: bacterial SSU rRNA
Rfam family: Bacterial small subunit ribosomal RNA
Source: RNAcentral